GAUGAACGCUGGCGGCGUGCCUAAUACAUGCAAGUCGAGCGAACGGACGAGAAGCUUGCUUCUCUGAUGUUAGCGGCGGACGGGUGAGUAACACGUGGAUAACCUACCUAUAAGACUGGGAUAACUUCGGGAAACCGGGGCUAAUCCCGGAUAAUAUUUUGAACCGCAUGGUUCAAAAGGGAAAGACGGUCUUGCUGUAACUUAUAGAGGGAUCCGCGCUGCAUUAGCUAGUUGGUAAGGUAACGGCUUACCAAGGCAACGAUGCAUAGCCGACCUGAGAGGGUGAUCGGCCACACUGGAACUGAGACACGGUCCAGACUCCUACGGGAGGCAGCAGUAGGGAAUCUUCCGCAAUGGGCGAAAGCCUGACGGAGCAACGCCGCGUGAGUGAUGAAGGUCUUCGGAUCGUAAAACUCUGUUAUUAGGGAAGAACAUAUGUGUAAGUAACUGUGCACAUCUUGACGGUACCUAAUCAGAAAGCCACGGCUAACUACGUG
RNAcentral lists this ribosomal RNA (497 nucleotides) under uncultured bacterium. RNAcentral's name for it is "partial 16S ribosomal RNA". It matches the Rfam family "Bacterial small subunit ribosomal RNA", at positions 28 to 507 of the family's 1533-position model. The record is from RNAcentral.